RNAcentral lists this ribosomal RNA (573 nucleotides) under uncultured Tulasnella. Its description in RNAcentral is "eukaryotic LSU rRNA". The stretch from base 155 to 318 matches the Rfam family "5.8S ribosomal RNA". Lineage: Eukaryota; Fungi; Basidiomycota; Agaricomycetes; Cantharellales; Tulasnellaceae. The record is from RNAcentral.
UCCCUCGUCCUCGGGACGUUAAGCUGCUCUGGUCGAGGAUAAACGACCCCUCUGACCGAGGUCAAACCCGUCACACUGUGUUACCUCUGUCUGAGGCACACGUUAAAGAUUGUUCCGCGUUGUGAGUCUAACACCAGUUGUAUAAACUUUUUACAACCGGUAGCGAUGGAUCCCUUGGCACGUCAUUCGAUGAAGACCGUUGCAAAUUGCGAUAAAGUGAUGUGAUGCGCAAGUCCACCACUUAUACGUGAAUCAUCGAGUUGUUGAACGCAUUGCACCGCGCCCUAAUCCGGCUGCGGUAUGCCCCUUUGAGCGUCAUUGUAUUCCUUCGGGAGUCCUUUUUACAAAAGGACCCGAGUUCGGAGUCCUCGGUCCUCUGGAUCGUGUUCUCUUAGAUGCGUCGCACCGAUCGCCUGAUGGGUCUCUAAUGCCUAAGCGUGGAGUUCCUUCAGAGUCCGAGACGUGCUUGACCGGGUGUUGAGCUCGCGUCACCAAGUCUGCCUCACAAGCAGUACUACAACGCAUGACCUCAUUGGGGUAGGACAACCCGCUAGACUUAAGCAUAUUAAUCAG